This 497-nucleotide ribosomal RNA is filed under the name uncultured bacterium. RNAcentral describes it as "partial 16S ribosomal RNA". It matches the Rfam family "Bacterial small subunit ribosomal RNA", at positions 28 to 507 of the family's 1533-position model. The record is from RNAcentral.
GAUGAACGCUGGCGGCGUGCCUAAUACAUGCAAGUCGAGCGAACAGAUGAGGAGCUUGCUCCUCUGACGUUAGCGGCGGACGGGUGAGUAACACGUGGAUAACCUACCUAUAAGACUGGGAUAACUUCGGGAAACCGGAGCUAAUACCGGAUAAUAUCUUGAACCGCAUGGUUCAAUAGUGAAAGACGGUUUUGCUGUCACUUAUAGAUGGAUCCGCGCCGCAUUAGCUAGUUGGUAAGGUAACGGCUUACCAAGGCAACGAUGCGUAGCCGACCUGAGAGGGUGAUCGGCCACACUGGAACUGAGACACGGUCCAGACUCCUACGGGAGGCAGCAGUAGGGAAUCUUCCGCAAUGGGCGAAAGCCUGACAGAGCAACGCCGCGUGAGUGAUGAAGGUCUUCGGAUCGUAAAACUCUGUUAUUAGGGAAGAACAAAUGUGUAAGUAACUAUGCACGUCUUGACGGUACCUAGUCAGAAAGCCACGGCUAACUACGUG